GCCGGGCGUGGUGGCUCAUGCCUGUAAUCCCAGCACUUUGGGAGGCCAAGGCGGGUGGAUCACCUGAGGUCAGGAGUUCAAGACCUGCCUGGCCAACAUGGUGAAACCCCGUCUCUA
Pongo abelii (Sumatran orangutan) is the source of this 117-nucleotide unclassified non-coding RNA. It matches the Rfam family "Metazoan signal recognition particle RNA". Rfam says of the family: The signal recognition particle (SRP) is a universally conserved ribonucleoprotein. It is involved in the co-translational targeting of proteins to membranes. The eukaryotic SRP consists of a 300-nucleotide 7S RNA and six proteins: SRPs 72, 68, 54, 19, 14, and 9. NCBI's taxonomy places the organism in Eukaryota, Metazoa, Chordata, Mammalia, Primates, Hominidae. The record is from Ensembl.